AAGACCACAUUCUGAAAACCUCUCUGAAAUUAUGGUGUUGAUUUUUUGUGAAAUUUUAUAUCUCCACAGAUUAGACCAUUUUUGAAAUUCUUUUUUUUUUAAAACCUGGCUAUAUCACUCAGCCAGGCUACUCCGCUGUCCCUGUCGAAUACCAGGGAGGUGUUGCUUUUGCUCCGGCACCAACAAGUGAGGUAACCUGGUCUAGCUACAUACUGGAAAGCAUAUGGAUCCUAUCAGCUAUGUCUCAAAACAAGAGUGCAGACUUUUAUAGUUUAGGUCACACAGCAAACUCACAUGGUAAUAUGUCGUGAAUUUGUUUCUGUUCAAUUUGUUAGCCACAACCACUGCAAUGGGUUGCUGCAUGAUUAAAAUCUCUCACUCAGGAGAAAUGGAACUGUUGGCAUUAACAUAAAUUUUUUUCUCUUGGUUUGUUACUUACACAGUCCCAUUGUAAGCACUGCGUUUAACACAGAAAAUCCACAAUCUCAUACUGUUUGUCCAUUCAAAUCCAUGUAAAACAUUCCUUUCCUAUUAGUCUGUCAGCAACAGUUUGACCCUAAGUGCAUAGAGCAGUCUGAAACAUUAUUUCCAAAUCUAAUUAUAUGUUACAUUUUCUAA
This is a long non-coding RNA of Girardinichthys multiradiatus, 618 nucleotides long. RefSeq lists it as uncharacterized. Lineage: Eukaryota; Metazoa; Chordata; Actinopteri; Cyprinodontiformes; Goodeidae. The transcript is spliced from 2 exons. The record is from RefSeq and is a predicted model, not a curated record.